Molecule: ribosomal RNA, 402 nt
Filed under: Bacteroidota bacterium
Lineage: Bacteria; Pseudomonadati; Bacteroidota
Description: Bacteroidetes bacterium partial 16S ribosomal RNA
Rfam family: Bacterial small subunit ribosomal RNA
Source: RNAcentral
UGGGGAAUUUUGCACAAUGGGGGAAACCCUGAUGCAGCGACGCCGCGUGAUUUAGAAGGCCUUCGGGUUGUAAAAAUCUUUUUUACGGGAUGAAAAUGACAGUACCGUAAGAAUAAGGUCCGGCUAAAUACGUGCCAGCAGCCUCGGUAAUACGUAUGGACCGUGCGUUGUCCGGAAUCAUUGGGCGUAAAGGGUACGUAGGCGGCCUAGUAAGUUAAAAGUUAAAGAAUAUAGCUCAACUAUAUAAAGCUUUUAAAACUGCUAGGCUUGAAAGAUAGAAAGGAAAGUUGGAUUCCUAGUGUUGCGGUGAAAUGCGAAGUUAUUAGGAAGAAUACCGGUGGCGAAGGCGACUUUCUGGUCAUCAUCUGACGCUGAGGUACGAAAGCGUGGGUAGCAAACAGG